UGCCAGCAGCCGCGGUAAUUCCAGCUCCAAUAGCGUAUAUUAAAGUUGUUGUGGUUAAAAAGCUCGUAGUUGGAUCUCAGUUCGAGUCAGGCGGUCCACUUGCCAGUGGCUACUGCCUGACUGAACACUUUACCGAGUUGUCCUAUGGUGUUCUUCACCGAGCGUCAUAGGCGAUCGGUACGUUUACUUUGAAAAAAUUAGAGUGCUCAAGGCAGGCGUAACGCCCGAAUAAUGUUGCAUGGAAUAAUGGAAUAGGACCUCGGUUCUAUUUUGUUGGUCUUCGGAAUCAGAGGUAAUGAUCAAUAGGGACAGACGGGGACAUUCGUAUUGCGGCGCUAGAGGUGAAAUUCUUGGACCGUCGCAAGACGAACUAAAGCGAAAGCAUUUGUCAAGAAUGUUUUCAUUAAUCAAGAACGAAAGUUAGAGGUUCGAAGGCGAUCAGAUACCGCCCUAGUUCUAACCAUAAACGAUGCCAACCAGUAAUUCGUCUGAGUUCCUUAAAUGACUCGACGAGGGACUUCCGGGAAACCAAAGUCUUUCGGUUCCAGGGGAAGUAUGGUUGCAAAGCUGAAACUUAAAGAAAUUGACGGAAGGGCACCACCAGGAGUGGAGCCUGCGGCUUAAUUUGACCCAACACGGGAAAACUCACCCGGCCCGGACACUGGAAGGAUUGACAGAUUGAGAGCUCUUUCUUGAUUCAGUGGGUGGUGGUGCAUGACCGUUCUUAGUUGGUGGAGUGAUUUGUCUGGUUAAUUCCGAUAACGAACGAGACUCUAGCCUACUAAAUAGAUCGUCGGCUUACAAACGCCGGCGAGACUUCUUAGAGGGACAGGCGGUGAUUCAACCGCACGAAACAGAGCAAUAACAGGUCUGUGAUGCCCUUAGGUGUCCGGGGCCGCACGCGCGCUACACUGAAGUGAUCAGCGUGCUUUUUCAACCUACUCUGUCAAGAGUGGGGAACCCAAUGAACCUUCUUCGUGAUUGGGAUAGGGGAUUGUAAUUAUUCCCCUUGAACGAGGAAUUCCCAGUAAGCGCGAGUCAUAAGCUCGCGUUGAUUACGUCCCUGCCCUUUGUACACACCGCCCGUCGCUACUACCGAUUGAAUGUUUUAGUGAGGUCUUCGGACUGGCCGGCGCAGCACUCUCGUAGUGCAGCGCUGUGUUUGGAAAGAUGCCCAAACUUGAACAUUUAGAGGAAGUAAAAGU
This 1205-nucleotide ribosomal RNA is filed under the name metagenome. RNAcentral's name for it is "SSU rRNA". It matches the Rfam family "Eukaryotic small subunit ribosomal RNA", at positions 565 to 1789 of the family's 1831-position model. The record is from RNAcentral.